CUUACUUUGAUUAUCUGGAGUUCUGAUGAACAUGAUUUCACUGUAAAGAUAGCAGUAAUAACAGGAUAAUGCAUGAGUCUAGCAGAUGACUGAACAUUCCUGUAUAUUUUUAUUUUUAUUUUUUACUGAACAGAGUGUUGAGCAUCUUUCAGAACGUUAAGGUACAAGACCACGGAUAGAGCUCUACAGGGUUCUUGAGCUCCUAGAAGUAUGCUGUCAAUAGGCAGAACUGUGGUCAAAAACAGGUCAUGUCUGGAGCUGGAUGUGGAUCGGGCUGAGGAACAGUGGCUGCUGGAUCAGAAGUAGUUCCACAUGUGACAAUAAUCUAACGUUUCCUGGUAUAACAUAAUAAUGUUCUGCUUUAGUGAAGUGACAAAAUGAUGUAAUGAAGCAUGAGUAAAUGCUGAACUAUUUUUUUAAAGAAUGACUUGGCUGCCAAAGCUUAUGUUGAUUCCAUGAGACAAAUAUGUGUUCGUCAAUAUGAAAUAUUUACUUCAAGCUGGUGGUAUUAAUUUAUCACUGACUCUUGUUUGUUGCAGUAAUGAAACAUAUUGUUAAACGUGAUUGAAUAAAAACAUGAA
This is a long non-coding RNA of Hemibagrus wyckioides, 581 nucleotides long. RefSeq lists it as uncharacterized. The transcript has 4 exons. The record is from RefSeq and is a predicted model, not a curated record. Lineage: Eukaryota; Metazoa; Chordata; Actinopteri; Siluriformes; Bagridae.